RNAcentral lists this ribosomal RNA (297 nucleotides) under uncultured bacterium. RNAcentral describes it as "partial 16S ribosomal RNA". It matches the Rfam family "Bacterial small subunit ribosomal RNA", at positions 501 to 793 of the family's 1533-position model. The record is from RNAcentral.
CUACGUGCCAGCAGCCGCGGUAAUACGUAGGGUGCAAGCGUUAAUCGGAAUUACUGGGCGUAAAGCGUGCGCAGGCGGUUUUGUAAGUCUGAUGUGAAAAUCCCCGGGCUCAACCUGGGAAUUGCAUUGGAGACUGCAAGGCUAGAAUCUGGCAGAGGGGGGUAGAAUUCCGACGUGUAGCAGUGAAAUGCGUAGAUAUGUGGAGGAACACCGAUGGCGAAGGCAGCCCCCUCGGGUCAAGAUUGACGCUCAUGCACGAAAGCGUGGGGAGCAAACAGGAUUAGAUACCCUCGGUAG